GACGAACCGUGCGAACGUUGUUCGGAAUCACUGGGCUUAAAGGGCGCGUAGGCGGCCGACCAAGUCCGGGGUGAAAGCCCCCAGCUCAACUGGGGAAGUGCCCCGGAUACUGGCCGGCUCGAGGGAGGUAGGGGCGGAUGGAACUUCCGGUGGAGCGGUGAAAUGCGUUGAUAUCGGAAGGAACGCCGGUGGCGAAAGCGAUCCGCUGGCCCUCUACUGACGCUGAGGCGCGAAAGCCAGGGGAGCAAACGGG
Molecule: ribosomal RNA, 253 nt
Filed under: uncultured bacterium
Lineage: Bacteria
Description: partial 16S ribosomal RNA
Rfam family: Bacterial small subunit ribosomal RNA
Source: RNAcentral